UCCAUCUUAACUCCGGAUCUAUCAAGUGUCGAGAGGGAUCAAAUCUCUAGAGGUGCAAACCUUUAACCUUUCCUCAAGCUAGAGGUGCAAACCUUUAACCUUUCCUCAAGUUUUGCACUCUAAAAAGGUUGGUACCUCUAGAUAUUUGAUCCCUCUUGGCGCUUGAUAGAUCCGAAUUUAAGAUGGA
This 187-nucleotide microRNA precursor is filed under the name Picea abies (Norway spruce). RNAcentral's name for it is "miR11409b stem-loop (pab-MIR11409b)". The record is from miRBase by way of RNAcentral. Lineage: Eukaryota; Viridiplantae; Streptophyta; Pinopsida; Pinales; Pinaceae.